AAGUUUAUGAACCAAAUAUAGAAGACUAUGAAGAAGACUUUGAAGACGAACCUAUAGAAUUAGAUUUUGUCCAAAAUGAUUUCCAAAGGGAGAUUAUUGAUCUAAGUACAACCAAGUCAUUUCACAUCACUACUGUGGAAGAGAUAGUGACAGAUAUUGAGAGUCAGUCACCUGAAUUGGCACUUGUAGCUAAAGAUACCCAUGUGGAGUCCAAUCUUGAACA
RNAcentral lists this long non-coding RNA (223 nucleotides) under Phoenix dactylifera (date palm). RNAcentral's name for it is "long non-coding RNA (PDAC_LNC001921)". Lineage: Eukaryota; Viridiplantae; Streptophyta; Magnoliopsida; Arecales; Arecaceae. The record is from RNAcentral.